Molecule: long non-coding RNA, 989 nt
Filed under: Callithrix jacchus (white-tufted-ear marmoset)
Lineage: Eukaryota; Metazoa; Chordata; Mammalia; Primates; Cebidae
Description: lncRNA (ENSCJAG00000079290.1)
Source: RNAcentral
GAAAAAGGCAGACAUUAACAGAACAGGGAGCUCACAGAGUCAGCACUCCCGGGGACAAGACAGCCAGAUUUUCCUUAAAAGGUGACCCCAGGGCUGAAAACCACAGGAGAAGUAGAAUUUUUCUCAACAACAACAUCUUGAGGUCAUAAUGGUCUGAUCCACGGUGCUAAGGAUCUGAAGUGUGAAGUGAGACCUGGUAAAUGCACCCCACUUACCCAAAGUUGGCCAAUUGGGGCAUGCAGACAACUUUCCUUUGGGUCAGGGGUCUCUUGAGUACCGUCCCUUCACGUCACGGGAAAGAAGUUGCUGGAAAGGGAUUCCAAUCCAGACCCCAAGAGAAGGUUCUUGGAUCUGGCACAAGGAAGAAUUCCGGAAUACCUCACCUCCUGGGAAUGCAGCCCAGCAGAUCUCAUCCUUGUUUUACCCAGCAUCUAUUCAAGAUGGAGUUCUCGGGUUCAAAUGCCUCUGACAGUGAUGUCACCUACAGAAGCAAUUGAGGAAGUUAACAAACCUUGUGACUUCCAACUGCAUGGCUCUUAAACAGUGAUUCUAGAAACAAUGGCUGGUUAUCUUUAAAGUACACCUAUAUCUUGGCAGAAUUCAGGCCCCUCCCAAAUCCUAAACUUGUGGACUUCCAUUAGUCUUACAAGGAUGGUUUUGGUCCCCAAGCAAGGAGAGGGUUUGUUUUGGGAAGGGACUGUUAUCAUCUAUGUUUUAAAGUUAAGAAAAGCAGUGAACUUGUGUUAAAAGCAAAAUGGAGUUAACUAUGUCACAUUUCACUAGAGGUCAUUAUUUUUUUUUAUUUCUUAUUUUUGCAAAGGUGGUUUCAAGAAUUUCCCCCUAUCUACAUAAAGUCUCAAAGUACCCACCAAGGAGAAGAAUUAUUUUUCCUUUUCUUCCCUAUUACCUCAUCUGACCAAGAAUGUAACCACACUUUAAUACUCCCUUUCACAAGAUAAUGUCUGGCUGUCAGGCUCAUUCAAGUUCCA